UACAGAGGGUGCAAGCGUUAAUCGGAAUUACUGGGCGUAAAGCGUGCGUAGACGGUUAUUUAAGUCGGGUGUGAAAGCCCCGGGCUCAACCUGGGAAUUGCAUUCGAAACUGAAUAGCUAGGGUGCGGAAGAGGGAAGCGGAAUUUCCGGUGUAGCGGUGAAAUGCGUAGAUAUCGGAAGGAACACCAGUGGCGAAAGCGGCUUCCUGGUCCAGCACCGACGUUCAGGCACGAAAGCGUGGGGAGCAAACAGG
RNAcentral lists this ribosomal RNA (253 nucleotides) under uncultured bacterium. RNAcentral describes it as "partial 16S ribosomal RNA". It matches the Rfam family "Bacterial small subunit ribosomal RNA", at positions 524 to 776 of the family's 1533-position model. The record is from RNAcentral.